GUGGCGGACGGGUGAGUAACACGUGGGUAACCUGCCCUUAAGUGGGGGAUAACAUUUGGAAACAGAUGCUAAUACCGCAUAGAUCCAAGAACCGCAUGGUUCUUGGCUGAAAGAUGGCGUAAGCUAUCGCUUUUGGAUGGACCCGCGGCGUAUUAGCUAGUUGGUGAGGUAAUGGCUCACCAAGGCGAUGAUACGUAGCCGAACUGAGAGGUUGAUCGGCCACAUUGGGACUGAGACACGGCCCAAACUCCUACGGGAGGCAGCAGUAGGGAAUCUUCCACAAUGGACGCAAGUCUGAUGGAGCAACGCCGCGUGAGUGAAGAAGGCUUUCGGGUCGUAAAACUCUGUUGUUGGAGAAGAAUGGUCGGCAGAGUAACUGUUGUCGGCGUGACGGUAUCCAACCAGAAAGCCACGGCUAACUACGUGCCAGCAGCCGCGGUAAUACGUAGGUGGCAAGCGUUAUCCGGAUUUAUUGGGCGUAAAGCGAGCGCAGGCGGUUUUUUAAGUCUGAUGUGAAAGCCCUCGGCUUAACCGAGGAAGCGCAUCGGAAACUGGGAAACUUGAGUGCAGAAGAGGACAGUGGAACUCCAUGUGUAGCGGUGAAAUGCGUAGAUAUAUGGAAGAACACCAGUGGCGAAGGCGGCUGUCUGGUCUGUAACUGACGCUGAGGCUCGAAAGCAUGGGUAGCGAACAGGAUUAGAUACCCUGGUAGUCCAUGCCGUAAACGAUGAAUGCUAGGUGUUGGAGGGUUUCCGCCCUUCAGUGCCGCAGCUAACGCAUUAAGCAUUCCGCCUGGGGAGUACGACCGCAAGGUUGAAACUCAAAGGAAUUGACGGGGGCCCGCACAAGCGGUGGAGCAUGUGGUUUAAUUCGAAGCAACGCGAAGAACCUUACCAGGUCUUGACAUCUUUUGAUCACCUGAGAGAUCAGGUUUCCCCUUCGGGGGCAAAAUGACAGGUGGUGCAUGGUUGUCGUCAGCUCGUGUCGUGAGAUGUUGGGUUAAGUCCCGCAACGA
RNAcentral lists this ribosomal RNA (1015 nucleotides) under Lacticaseibacillus paracasei. RNAcentral's name for it is "bacterial SSU rRNA". It matches the Rfam family "Bacterial small subunit ribosomal RNA", at positions 95 to 1095 of the family's 1533-position model. Lineage: Bacteria; Bacillati; Bacillota; Bacilli; Lactobacillales; Lactobacillaceae. The record is from RNAcentral.